RNAcentral lists this ribosomal RNA (376 nucleotides) under uncultured organism. RNAcentral describes it as "bacterial SSU rRNA". It matches the Rfam family "Archaeal small subunit ribosomal RNA", at positions 476 to 851 of the family's 1478-position model. The record is from RNAcentral.
CCAGCACCCCGAGUGGUCGGGACGAGUUAUUGGGCCUAAAGCAUCCGUAGCCGGUCCUGCAAGUCUUCCGUUAAAUCCAGCUGCUCAACAGAUGGGCUGCGGAGGAUACUACAGGGCUAGGAGGCGGGAGAGGCAAGCGGUACUUUAUGGGUAGGGGUAAAAUCCGUUGAUCCAUAGAAGACCACCAGUGGCGAAGGCGGCUUGCCAGAACGCGCUCGACGGUGAGGGAUGAAAGCUGGGGGAGCAAACCGGAUUAGAUACCCGGGUAGUCCCAGCUGUAAACGAUGCAGACUCGGUGAUGGGUCGGCUUCGUGCCAACCCAGUGCCGCAGGGAAGCCGUUAAGUCUGCCGCCUGGGGAGUACGGUCGCAAGACUG